AACGAACGCUGGCGGUAUGCUUAACACAUGCAAGUCGAACGAACAAAAUUGGGGCUUGCUCCAAUUUUAGUGAGUGGCCAACGGGUGAGUAACACGUGGGAACCUACCUAUCCGUACGGAAUAACAUUUGGAAACAGAUGCUAAUACCGUAUAUUCUCCAAGGAGGAAAGAUUUAUCGCUGAUAGUUGAGCCCGCGUAAGAUUAGGUAGUUGGUAGGGUAAUGGCCUACCAAGCCGACGAUCUUUAGCUGGUCUGAGAGGAUGAUCAGCCACACUGGGACUGAGACACGUCCCAGACUCCUACGGUAGGCAGCAGUGGGGAAUAUUUGACAAUGGGCGAAAGCCUGAUCCAGCAAGACCACGUGAAUGAUGAAGGCCUUAGGGUUGUAAAGUUCUUUUAGUUGGAAAGAUAAUGACGGUACCAACAGAAAAAGCCCCGGCUAACUCCGUGCCAGCCGCCGCCGUAA
RNAcentral lists this ribosomal RNA (466 nucleotides) under uncultured bacterium. RNAcentral describes it as "partial 16S ribosomal RNA". It matches the Rfam family "Bacterial small subunit ribosomal RNA", at positions 29 to 523 of the family's 1533-position model. The record is from RNAcentral.